GGAAGGAUCAUUAACACGUGAUACUCACGUAUUAACCAAACGCGAAUUGUUGUUUAAGCCUAUUAUUAGAAUCGAGCUGGCUGUUUGGAAUGGUGUGGGUGACCGGUGCUUCGCGCAUAGGGCCCUGUCUUUCGAGUCUAGCGCUUCGGUGCGCGGCCCCGACCUAAUAAUAGUAGAUGAAUUUCGGCUGCUUAUUAAGCCUGCACCUUGGCUUGCAGUUGGAGUGCCUUAUUUAUUACCCCUUUUUUAUAUUUAAUUCUGAUUUGUACGUUUAUAUGAAUUCCUGACUAACUUCGGUUUUUUGGUUGAGUUUUAUAUAGAUGUCGUAUAUUACUAAUACGAAACAACUCUUAGCAACGGAUAUCUUGGUUCUCGUAACGAUGAAGAGCGCAGCGAAAUGCGAUACGUAAUGCGAAUUGCAGAAUUCAGUGAAUCAUCAAAUUCUUGAACGCAACUGGCGCCUUCAGGUUUACCUGGAGGCACGUUUCUCUCAGUGUCGGUUAUACUCUCUCCGAUUAACUAAGUUUAAUUACUCAGUGAAAGGGACAAUGAGCGUUAUGACUUCGCGGUCAUAUCACUUUAAAUUGAACGAGUUAGUUUUUUCAUAGUUGGUAGUUCUCACGAACCGCCGCUGUUCUCGACUUAGUUAUGUGGGUAACUCGUCUUCGGAUGAUGCUUUACAUCAACUUGUAGUUAAUGGUUCACUAUGCUGAAGCUGGCGUAAAACUGUAGAUUCACUAAUCUUUAUGGUUAAUGUUUCUCAUAUUUUGACCUGAGAUGAAGCGAGGCUACCCGCGGAAUUUAAGCAUAUUAUUACGCGGAGGAAAAGAAACUAACAAGGAUUCCCCUAGUAACGGCGAGUGAAGCGGGAAGAGCUCAAGUUUAAAAUCGAUGUGCUUUUGCACUUCGAGUUGUAGUCUCGAGACAUGCUGUCUGCGGUGACGUCGGUACAAGUGCCUUGGAAGAGGUUAUCAGAGAGGGUGACAAUCCCGUCGCUGACCGAUAGUUUGCCGCUUUCGACGUAUGUUCACAGAGUCGGAUUGCUUGGGAGUGCAGUCCUAAUUGGGUGGUAAAUUUCAUCUAAAGCUAAAUAUUGACGAGAGACCGAUAGCGAACAAGUACCGUGAGGGAAAGAUGAAAAGAACUUUGAAAAGAGAGUCAAAAAGUACUUGAACUUGUUAAGAGGGAAGAGCUGAAAACUAGUAUUGCUUGGGGUUACUUUCCCGCUCUGAUUGAAACGGUUGUGUACUGGGAGUUUAAACCCCAGUGCGCUUUUGAAUUAGUUAGAGUGGUCCUCUGUAGCUUUGAGUAGGUCAGCAUCAUUUCGAAGUGUGGGAGAAAGUUGGGCGGAAGGUAGGGUCUUCGGAUCUGUUAUAGACGCUCAGCCAUACCAUGCUUUGGAUUGAGGAUGUAUCGACGCUCCGUUUUACGGAGUGACCACCUGAUGCCUCAUCUGUUCUAUGCGCUGGAAAACAAUGCUUUGCUGUGUGUAGGAUGGGUGACUGUGUUAGGGCGUCACUGCGCCGACGCGAUGCUGACGAAAUGGUUUUCAUCUACCCGUCUUGAAACACGGACCAAGGAGUCUAACAUAUAUGCGAGUAUUUGGGUGGAAAACCCUGGUGCGUAAUGAAAGUAAAUGAGAUUUAUCUCUGAGGUAGGAAUCCCGCAAGGGAGGCACUAUCGACCGAUCGUCACUUGUGAAAGAUUUGAGUAAGAGCAUAUCUGUUGGGACCCGAAAGAUGGUGAUCUAUGCCUGAACAGGGUGAAGCCAGGGGAAACUCUGGUGGAGGGCUCGUAGCGAUACUGACGUGCAAAUCGUUCGUCUGAUUUGGGUAUAGGGGCGAAAGACUAAUCGAACUAUCUAGUAGCUGGUUCCCCC
RNAcentral lists this unclassified non-coding RNA (1879 nucleotides) under uncultured fungus. RNAcentral describes it as "sequence contains 18S rRNA gene, ITS1, 5.8S rRNA gene, ITS2, 28S rRNA gene". The stretch from base 769 to 1879 matches the Rfam family "Eukaryotic large subunit ribosomal RNA", at positions 1 to 961 of the family's 3401-position model. The record is from RNAcentral. Lineage: Eukaryota; Fungi.